RNAcentral lists this ribosomal RNA (253 nucleotides) under uncultured bacterium. RNAcentral describes it as "partial 16S ribosomal RNA". It matches the Rfam family "Bacterial small subunit ribosomal RNA", at positions 524 to 776 of the family's 1533-position model. The record is from RNAcentral.
UACAGAGGUCUCAAGCGUUGUUCGGAUUCAUUGGGCGUAAAGGGUGCGCAGGUGGUCGGGUAAGUCUGACGUGAAAUCCCGCAGCUUAACUGCGGAAUGGCAUUGGAUACUAUUCGGCUAGAGGGUUGGAGGGGGGACUGGAAUUCUCGGUGUAGCAGUGAAAUGCGUAGAUAUCGAGAGGAACACCAGUGGCGAAGGCGAGUCCCUGGACAACUCCUGACGCUGAGGCACGAAAGCUAGGGGAGCAAACAGG